CAGUCGCCGCGGGAAUACGGAGGGUGCAAGCGUUAAUCGGAAUUACUGGGCGUAAAGCGUGCGUAGGCGGUUCGUUAAGUCUGUUGUGAAAGCCCCGGGCUCAACCUGGGAAUGGCAAUGGAUACUGGCGAGCUAGAGUGUGUCAGAGGAUGGUGGAAUUCCCGGUGUAGCGGUGAAAUGCGUAGAGAUCGGGAGGAACAUCAGUGGCGAAGGCGGCCAUCUGGGACAACACUGACGCUGAGGCACGAAAGCGUGGGGAGCAAACAGGAUUAGAUACCUCCGUAGUCCCUGUCUCUUACAC
Molecule: ribosomal RNA, 301 nt
Filed under: uncultured bacterium
Lineage: Bacteria
Description: partial 16S ribosomal RNA
Rfam family: Bacterial small subunit ribosomal RNA
Source: RNAcentral